UGCAGUCGAACGGUAACAGGUCUUCGGAUGCUGACGAGUGGCGAACGGGUGAGUAAUACAUCGGAACGUGCCUGAUAGUGGGGGAUAACUACUCGAAAGAGUGGCUAAUACCGCAUAANAUCUCAGGAUGAAAGCAGGGGACCGCAAGGCCUUGCGCUAACAGAGCGGCCGAUGGCAGAUUAGGUAGUUGGUGGGGUAAAGGCUUACCAAGCCUACGAUCUGUAGCUGGUCUGAGAGGACGACCAGCCACACUGGGACUGAGACACGGCCCAGACUCCUACGGGAGGCAGCAGUGGGGAAUUUUGGACAAUGGGCGCAAGCCUGAUCCAGCAAUGCCGCGUGCAGGAUGAAGGCCUUCGGGUUGUAAACUGCUUUUGUACGGAACGAAAAAGCUCUCUCUAAUACAGAGGGUGAAUGACGGUACCGUAAGAAUAAGCACCGGCUAACUACGUGCCAGC
This 458-nucleotide ribosomal RNA is filed under the name uncultured Variovorax sp. RNAcentral's name for it is "bacterial SSU rRNA". It matches the Rfam family "Bacterial small subunit ribosomal RNA", at positions 56 to 512 of the family's 1533-position model. The record is from RNAcentral. Lineage: Bacteria; Pseudomonadati; Pseudomonadota; Betaproteobacteria; Burkholderiales; Comamonadaceae.